RNAcentral lists this ribosomal RNA (492 nucleotides) under uncultured bacterium. Its description in RNAcentral is "partial 16S ribosomal RNA". It matches the Rfam family "Bacterial small subunit ribosomal RNA", at positions 29 to 507 of the family's 1533-position model. The record is from RNAcentral.
AGUGAACGCUGGCGGUAGGCCUAACACAUGCAAGUCGAACGGCAGCACAGUAAGAGCUUGCUCUUACGGGUGGCGAGUGGCGGACGGGUGAGGAAUACAUCGGAAUCUACUUUUUCGUGGGGGAUAACGUAGGGAAACUUACGCUAAUACCGCAUACGACCUACGGGUGAAAGCAGGGGAUCUUCGGACCUUGCGCGAUUGAAUGAGCCGAUGUCGGAUUAGCUAGUUGGCGGGGUAAAGGCCCACCAAGGCGACGAUCCGUAGCUGGUCUGAGAGGAUGAUCAGCCACACUGGAACUGAGACACGGUCCAGACUCCUACGGGAGGCAGCAGUGGGGAAUAUUGGACAAUGGGCGCAAGCCUGAUCCGGCCAUACCGCGUGGGUGAAGAUGGCCUUCGGGUUGUAAAGCCCUUUUGUUGGGAAAGAAAAGCAGCAGGUUAAUACCCCGCUGUUCUGACGGUACCCAAAGAAUAAGCACCGGCUAACUUCGUG